Molecule: long non-coding RNA, 1936 nt
Filed under: Macaca mulatta (Rhesus monkey)
Lineage: Eukaryota; Metazoa; Chordata; Mammalia; Primates; Cercopithecidae
Description: lncRNA (ENSMMUG00000058515.1)
Source: RNAcentral
CUAGGACGACCCCCGCGUAGGUCCUCCUGCCCACACCCGCCCCCUCGCCAGCCCCUGCCCCAGCCCCUAGCCGUGACCCCGCCCCUAGCCGCCCCCCCGCCCCCGCCCCGCAGCCCCUCCCGUGCGCUCGGGCCCAUCCCGUCACCGCCCAUUGGACCUGGGUCCGCUCAGGGGCGCCGGCCUGGCGGCGGUUCCGAGUCGGGCGCGUGCCGGCAGGGUUCCCAUUGCCAGCGGCGCAGCCAGACUAGGGGCUGCCCUCCGCCUUCUCGCCAUGGACGCGGACGACUCCCGGGCCCCCAAGGGCUCCUUGCGGAAGUUCCUGGAGCACCUCUUCGGGGCCCGCAAGGCCAUCGGCGUGCUGACCAGCGGCGGGGAUGCUCAAGGACGCAAGGAUUGAGAACAAUGGACUUUUUGAUGUGUGUUGCAACAAACUCAUAGCCGAGGGCUGUAAAUCGGAGGGAUCACCAGGUCUGCCUACCAGCCACGAGGGAAGUGGUGAGAAGCUGUCACCCCAACUUGAGUUUCAAGAAGACUCCUUGGAAGAAGAGACCACCAAAUUGAGAAUGAAAAGGACAGCAAGUUGUAGCUAUUCUUGAGAUGGGGCAGUGGCUCCAUGCUCUGGCCCCCGACCUCAGCAGCUGUCCCAGCUCAUCACCCUGAGUGCCAGCUUUCCCAUCUCAUCUCAGGAUCUGCACUGGACGGGCACCAGGUCUUUCUUCAGCGAACAUCUAAACUCUCUCAAGUGUCUCCAGAGACUUUUACAUGUCUACAAAGAUGACCUCAUUCUGUAGCAGCAUGGAUUUAACUUGCUCUUCGAUGUCACUCCUUCACAGAGUGCACUGUUCAUCGUCACCCUAUCCAUUAGCGUCAGUCUUACUAAAAGUCAAACAUCAACGUUAGUGGUAACUCUGGAGGCCUGGCAUUGUAGCGAUAUCCCCAAGAGAAAAUUGUUUUGAACCUUUCUGGGAAAAGUUCAUGUACGUUUUAUUCAAACGCUAGUUUUUAUAAUCUCGCUACCAUGUGGCUUUCCUGAAGGAUGAAAUUUCUAAUGUCCUUCAGGUAGAGAGAGGUAAAAAGUAUUCUAGAACAUUAAUUGCCCACUCCUCUCAUCCCUUCUCAGAAACCAACUGAAUUCCAGUGAGUGUGCCUGGCAAACCCAAACACGGUUUUCUGUUCAGGAUGCUGGUCUUACCUGUGAAGGCGUUCAUGAACGUGGAGAGGGACCGGCUCAACAUUUUGAAGAAAGGGUCUCUGCAUGGGUAUUUCCGAGACCCACAAAGGAUGGUAUGCUCAAGAAUGUGAGGAACACCGGUACUGUCCAUGGGAGUGGUGCGGAACUGCACGCUAGGGAAGAAGGAACGGCACGCCAGGAAGGGGGAGGAACAAGGAACAGAAGGCCAGCGACGGGGAGAAACAGAACGCUAGGGAAGGAGAAUGACUAGAAUACAAAACGUUCAUCUUAGUGCUGUGGACACAGUUCCCAGAUGCAUCAUCACCUUGGGCUACUAGAAAUCAUUCUGACACCACAAUCCUCCAACCCAGGGUUUCCCAACUUUAAUGUAAAUCAUUGAUUCAGAAUAUAAAAUUAUAUUUUGAUGAGAUUGUAAGUCCGUGUAAGCUUUUCCUUAUUUUUCAAGAUGCUCUGUCAAUAAAAAUAUUAGUGAGAUGAUAUUUAAACCACAUAACAUACAGUCAGUGCUUUAAACCAAGCUUGUCUAACCCACAGCCUGCAGUCCGCAUGCUCAGGAUGGCUUGGAAUGCAUCCCAACACAAUCCCUACACUUUCUUAAAACAUUGAGGUCCUCUAUUUAUUUUUUUUUAGCUCGUCAACUGUCCUUAGUGUUAGUGUAUUUAGUGUGUGGCUUAAGACAGUUGUUCUUCUAAUGUGGCACAGGGAAGCCGAAAGAUUGGACAUCCUUGAUUUAAAUAAAACAUU